Molecule: ribosomal RNA, 266 nt
Filed under: Pseudomonas sp. July_TSA1A3
Lineage: Bacteria; Pseudomonadati; Pseudomonadota; Gammaproteobacteria; Pseudomonadales; Pseudomonadaceae
Description: partial 16S ribosomal RNA
Rfam family: Bacterial small subunit ribosomal RNA
Source: RNAcentral
GUCCUUAGUUACCAGCACGUUAUGGUGGGCACUCUAAGGAGACUGCCGGUGACAAACCGGAGGAAGGUGGGGAUGACGUCAAGUCAUCAUGGCCCUUACGGCCUGGGCUACACACGUGCUACAAUGGUCGGUACAGAGGGUUGCCAAGCCGCGAGGUGGAGCUAAUCUCACAAAACCGAUCGUAGUCCGGAUCGCAGUCUGCAACUCGACUGCGUGAAGUCGGAAUCGCUAGUAAUCGCGAAUCAGAAUGUCGCGGUGAAUACGUU